GACGAACGCUGGCGGCGUGCUUAACACAUGCAAGUCGAACGCUGAAGCACCAGCUUGCUGGUGUGGAUGAGUGGCGAACGGGUGAGUAAUACGUGAGUAACCUGCCCUUGACUCUGGGAUAAGCCCGGGAAACUGGGUCUAAUACUGGAUGCUACAUGUCACCGCAUGGUGGUGUGUGGAAAGGGUUUACUGGUCUUGGAUGGGCUCACGGCCUAUCAGCUUGUUGGUGAGGUAAUGGCUCACCAAGGCGACGACGGGUAGCCGGCCUGAGAGGGUGACCGGCCACACUGGGACUGAGACACGGCCCAGACUCCUACGGGAGGCAGCAGUGGGGAAUAUUGCACAAUGGGCGAAAGCCUGAUGCAGCGACGCCGCGUGAGGGAUGACGGCCUUCGGGUUGUAAACCUCUUUCAGCAGGGAAGAAGCCACAAGUGACGGUACCUGCAGAAGAAGCGCCGGCUAACUACG
RNAcentral lists this ribosomal RNA (468 nucleotides) under uncultured bacterium. RNAcentral's name for it is "partial 16S ribosomal RNA". It matches the Rfam family "Bacterial small subunit ribosomal RNA", at positions 28 to 505 of the family's 1533-position model. RNAcentral also lists the same sequence under 1 other name. The record is from RNAcentral.